This 387-nucleotide ribosomal RNA is filed under the name Micrococcus luteus. RNAcentral describes it as "bacterial SSU rRNA". It matches the Rfam family "Bacterial small subunit ribosomal RNA", at positions 119 to 522 of the family's 1533-position model. The record is from RNAcentral. Lineage: Bacteria; Bacillati; Actinomycetota; Actinomycetes; Micrococcales; Micrococcaceae.
GAGUAACCUGCCCUAACUCCGGGAUAGCCCGGGAACCGGGUCCAAUACCGGAUGGAGCGUCCACCGCAUGGUGGGUGUUGGAAGGAUUUAUCGGUUUUGGAGGGACUCGCGGCCUAUCAGCUUGUUGGUGAGGUAAUGGCUCACCAAGGCGACGACGGGUAGCCGGCCUGAGAGGGUGACCGGCCACACUGGGACUGAGACACGGCCCAGACUCCUACGGGAGGCAGCAGUGGGGAAAUAUUGCACAAUGGGCGAAAGCCUGAUGCAGCGACGCCGCGUGAGGGAUGACGGCCUUCGGGUUGUAAACCUCUUUCAGUAGGGAAGAAGCGAAAUGUGACGGUACCUACAGAAGACGCACCGGCUAACUACGUGCCAGCAGCCGCGGUA